RNAcentral lists this ribosomal RNA (1515 nucleotides) under uncultured bacterium. Its description in RNAcentral is "partial 16S ribosomal RNA". It matches the Rfam family "Bacterial small subunit ribosomal RNA". The record is from RNAcentral.
GAGUUUGAUCCUGGCUCAGGAUAAACGCUGGCGGCGUGCCUAAAACAUGCAAGUCGUACGGGUCACCUUCGGGUGGUCAGUGGCGGACGGCUGAGUAACACGUGGGCGACCUGCCCGCGAGCGGGGGAUAAGCGCCCGAAAGGGUGUCUAAUACCGCGGAUGUCGGCGAUUCGGUUCGCUGACUGAACCUCACGGCUGAAACCGUGGGGGCUCGUGGAGGGGCCCGCGGCCGAUUAGCUAGUUGGUGAGGUAACGGCCCACCAAGGCGACGAUCGGUAGCCGGUCUGAGAGGAUGAUCGGCCAGACUGGGACUGCGAAACGGCCCAGACUCCUACGGGAGGCAGCAGUUAGGAAUUUUGGGCAAUGGGCGAAAGCCUGACCCAGCAACGCCGCGUGGGCGAUGAAGGCCUUCGGGUCGUAAAGCCCUUUUCCGAGGGAAGAUGAUGACGGUACCUCGGGAAUAAGCCCCGGCUAACUACGUGCCAGCAGCCGCGGUAAUACGUAGGGGGCAAGCGUUGUCCGGAUUCAUUGGGCGUAAAGCGCCCGCAGGCGGCCAACCAAGCCGCGCGUGAAAUCCCUCGGCUCAACUGGGGGCGGUCGCGCAGGACUGGUCGGCUCGAGGCCGGUAGGGGGGAGCGGAAUUCCGGGUGUAGUGGUGGAAUGCGUAGAGAUCCGGAGGAACACCAGUGGCGAAGGCGGCUCCCUGGACCGGUCCUGACGCUCAGGGGCGAAAGCGUGGGUAGCGAUCCGGAUUAGAUACCCGGGUAGUCCACGCCGUAAACGGUGGGCACUAGGUGUCGGGGGUAUCGACCCCCCCCGGUGCCGAAGCAAACGCGAUAAGUGCCCCGCCUGGGGACUACGGCCGCAAGGCUAAAACUCAAAGGAAUUGACGGGGGCCCGCACAAGCAGCGGAGCGUGUGGUUUAAUUCGACGCAACGCGAAGAACCUUACCUAGGCUUGACAUGUGCCUGACCGCCCUGGAAACAGGGUUUCCCUUCGGGGCAGGUUCACAGGUGGUGCAUGGCUGUCGUCAGCUCGUGUCGUGAGAUGUUGGGUUAAGUCCCGCAACGAGCGCAACCCUCGUUCUAUGUUGCCAGCACGUGAUGGUGGGGACUCAUAGGAGACUGCCGGGGUCAACUCGGAGGAAGGUGGGGACGACGUCAAAUCAUCAUGCCCCUUAUGUCUUGGGCUUCACGCAUGCUACAAUGGCCGGUACAAAGGGUUGCGAUACUGUGAGGUGGAGCUAAUCCCAAAAAGCCGGUCUCAGUUCGGAUUGGGGUCUGCAACUCGACCCCAUGAAGUCGGAGUCGCUAGUAAUCGCAGAUCAGCAACGCUGCGGUGAAUACGUUCCCGGGCCUUGUACACACCGCCCGUCAAGUCACGAAAGUUGGUAACACCCGAAGCCGGUGGCCUAACCCCUUGUGGGAGGGAGCUGUCGAAGGUGGGACUGGCGAUUGGGACUAAGUCGUAACAAGGUAGCCGUACCGGAAGGUGCGGCUGGAUCACCUCCUUUCU